This 1557-nucleotide long non-coding RNA is filed under the name Marmota monax (woodchuck). The record is from RNAcentral. Lineage: Eukaryota; Metazoa; Chordata; Mammalia; Rodentia; Sciuridae.
GGAGGUGCGGGGAUCAGGGAAAUAGGGGCGAAUGCAGUCAAUAUAUCUGAACUGGAUCUUGAGAGCGAUAUGGCACGGGAAAGAAAGCAGGAUGACCAGAUGGCCAGAACUGCAUUUUAAAGAGGGCACAAUUGACAGGAAAGAGGCCUGGGAACAGGAAGCUUAGUGUGAGCAAUCGCAGUUGGGCAUGAACUAAGGCAGGAGCCUGGCCCUGGGGAUGGAGCGAGGGAGCUGAGCAGUCAGCAGAAGCUAAAAGCACAGAGCCCCGUGGCUGAGUCUGAGUCGCAGGAGUGACGAGCAGAAUGCCCCUCAGAAGCUGAAAAACGCAUGUGACUGGGGCUUGUUCACUUGCCGUUUCCACUUAACCUUUCCUUCCCCACUGGAAGUGUAUGUAUCUCCACUGGUCCAGCUACGUUCAGGCUCUGGGAGGGGGACCCAGCAUCAUUUCCAGCUCCAUUCAGAGGAUGGAUGCCACCAUCAGUCAUGCUCAGAUCAUGAUUUCUCUCAGCAAUGCUCAUUGAAAAGCUCAUUGAAAGCAGAUUUUCGCAGAGUGGAGGUCUUCGAUCUCUCAAAUCUUUUCCCAGGCCUGGUGUGCCUCACCUCACUUCCUGCAUGGAACAGCCACUCUAGAGCAACCUUCUCCAGCUUUGGUUCCCCCUCCCAGCACACACGCCAUCCUCCUUCGGAAGUGACAGAUGACAUUUUGGUCUUGGGAUUUCCUCUUAGAAGCGAGCCUGUCACUUCUCCAGUCUGUGAUGAACGCACUCUGAAGAGCUUAAGGGCUGUUUGACUGCGGCUGAGGCAUCUAUUUUAGGUUGAGAAUUACUGACAUCCAGGAGCAUUUUUUUUAAUAGAAAGAAGAGUCUUAGAAAGAGGUGCCCUGCUAUCUUUAACAAAGCCACAUUUCUCUGCUACCUAGUGAUCACGAGUGGCAUGACACACUUUGAGAGCCAUAAAAUGUGGUGAUUACAAAAGUGGCCACAAUUUCUUCCCCAGAUGCAUGCCCUACCCUAGCAAUUGACUCUGUAGUUCUUCCAAUCAAGAGGGGAAGACUUUCUUUUCCUCUGGGAACUAAGAAAGUAAGAGUUUUCAAGGAAGAAAAGGGAUGAUUUGGGAGACGGUGUAUGACUCACUUGGUAUGGUACUUCAGGAGGCAUGUCUGGGUGCAUGGUCUGGCUGGGGAACAGAAUGCACUAGAUCAACCUCAGAGAUAAGGAGUGUUCAGAAGUUUUGGGGGGAAAUCAAGUAAAUGUUUUGUGAUUCUGCAAGAGAAAUCCUCAGACCACAUAGUGUCCAGAAAGGGUCAAGAGGAGGAUAACUUCAUUUAUUCUUUCAUUCAGAAAACAUUUAGCCAGAUUUUAAUUUGUAUCUCUCAGGCACAAGGAGUCAAGAAAGGUUAAUAGAUCACUUAUUUGAGUAUAACGUGGCGAUCCUAGAUGAGAUUAGCUCAAUCAACCGGAGCCCAUGUCAGAAACACCACCUAGACUUAGCAGAAUCAUGCUGUCAUGUAUAACUAAUUAGAACAAAUAAAAAAUUUUUAAAAAUGGCUAUAGUUUU